Theobroma cacao (cacao) is the source of this 424-nucleotide non-coding RNA. The record is from RefSeq and is a predicted model, not a curated record. NCBI's taxonomy places the organism in Eukaryota, Viridiplantae, Streptophyta, Magnoliopsida, Malvales, Malvaceae.
AAGAAAAUGAAAAAGGAAAGAAAAACCGAGGGAGAGGAAGAGAAAAGGAACAAAAAAUUUUACUCUUUUCUUGGCAUGGUUUUGCUGCACUUUGAGGGAGAAAAAGAGAGCUUUUGCUGUAAUUUUUGGAGGAAGAAAAAGCUGAAAAUUUUGAGUUUGAGCUAUUUGCUGCCAAUUUUGUGCAAAAACAUUGGAGCCGUUUGCUGGUAGUUUAUGUAGGAAAACUGGACAGCUUUGUGCCGCCAAAAUUGAGAAGUUUUGUUAUUGGAAAUUGAGCUGGAAAUCUGCUGAUUUUAGAGCAGAAAAUUACAGCAAAAUGGUGAGAAAAGGAGGCUUUUGGUGACCGAUUUUGAGAGGAAAGGAAGAGAGGAAGUCACGGUGGUGAAGAGAGGAAGACAUGGUGGUGAAGGGAGUGACGGUGGAA